AAAGGUGUAGCUCAGUGGUAGAGUGCAUGCUCAGCAUGCACAAAGUCCUGGGUUCAAUCCCCAGUACCUCUG
RNAcentral lists this transfer RNA (72 nucleotides) under Camelus ferus (Wild Bactrian camel). It matches the Rfam family "tRNA". From Rfam's summary of the family: Transfer RNA (tRNA) molecules are approximately 80 nucleotides in length. Their secondary structure includes four short double-helical elements and three loops (D, anti-codon, and T loops). The record is from Rfam by way of RNAcentral. Lineage: Eukaryota; Metazoa; Chordata; Mammalia; Artiodactyla; Camelidae.